UGAAAUUCGCCUUCAUGAAGCCGGAAUUGCUAGUAAUGGCAGGUCAGCAUACUGCCGUGAAUACGUUCCCGGGCCUUGUACACACCGCCCGUCACACCAUGAGAGUUGGGAAUACCCGAAGCCUGUGAGCUAACGUAAGGGGCAGCAGUCGAAGGUAGAAUCAAUGAUUGGGGUGAAGUCGUAACAAGGUACC
Molecule: ribosomal RNA, 193 nt
Filed under: uncultured bacterium
Lineage: Bacteria
Description: partial 16S ribosomal RNA
Rfam family: Bacterial small subunit ribosomal RNA
Source: RNAcentral